GCCUCCUUAGCUCAGUUGGUUAGAGCGCCAGACUUUUAAUCUGGUGGUCGGGGGUUCGAGCCCCCCAGGUGGCU
RNAcentral lists this transfer RNA (74 nucleotides) under Babesia bovis. It matches the Rfam family "tRNA". Rfam says of the family: Transfer RNA (tRNA) molecules are approximately 80 nucleotides in length. RNAcentral also lists the same sequence under 1 other name. The record is from Rfam by way of RNAcentral. Lineage: Eukaryota; Apicomplexa; Aconoidasida; Piroplasmida; Babesiidae.